CUUGCCUUCUGCCAGCGCUUGGGAGGAUCCCAGUUCUGGCAGGCUGUUGUCCAACUCAUUCUAGUCCUCCACAUUGGCAUGUCCAUCUCUAUGGGCUCAGGUGCCUCGACAUUGUUUUGGUUCGACCGGUGGGUUGGCGAUCUCCCUCUUGCUGCUAGCUUCCCUGAGCUUUUCUCCGUCACGGCCGACCCUUGGGUCUCCGUGGAGGUGGCCCUUAUUGACUUAGGGCGCCUUGCGUUCCGGAGGCCGUUUGGCCCCCUUGAGGUUGUUGCUUGGGAUGCCAUCCUUCAGGCCAUCCCCCUUCAGCCUCUCGACAUCGACAACGCUGAGGACUCCCUGUCGUGGCGUCUAGAGUCUUCGGCUCGCUUCUCGACCAAGUCCCUCUAUCAAGCGAUUGCCCCAUCUACGGUCUCGGAGCCGUUUAGUUUGAUAUGGGAUAUCCGCAUCCCAUUGAAGAUCAGGAUCUUCCUCUAG
Molecule: ribosomal RNA, 474 nt
Filed under: Triticum aestivum (bread wheat)
Lineage: Eukaryota; Viridiplantae; Streptophyta; Magnoliopsida; Poales; Poaceae
Description: partial small subunit ribosomal RNA
Source: RNAcentral